CUACUACAUGCAAGUCGAACGAACUCUGGUAUUGACUGGUGCUUGCAUCAUGAUUUACAUUUGAGUGAGUGGCGAACUGGUGAGUAACACGUGGGAAACCUGCCCAGAAGCGGGGGAUAACACCUGGAAACAGAUGCUAAUACCGCAUAACAACUUGGACCGCAUGGUCCGAGUUUGAAAGAUGGCUUCGGCUAUCACUUUUGGAUGGUCCCGCGGCGUAUUAGCUAGAUGGUGGGGUAACGGCUCACCAUGGCAAUGAUACGUAGCCGACCUGAGAGGGUAAUCGGCCACAUUGGGACUGAGACACGGCCCAAACUCCUACGGGAGGCAGCAGUAGGGAAUCUUCCACAAUGGACGAAAGUCUGAUGGAGCAACGCCGCGUGAGUGAAGAAGGGUUUCGGCUCGUAAAACUCUGUUGUUAAAGAAGAACAUAUCUGAGAGUAACUGUUCAGGUAUUGACGGUAUUUAACCAGAAAGCCACGGCUAACUACGUGCCAGCAGCCGCGGUAAUACGUAGGUGGCAAGCGUUGUCCGGAUUUAUUGGGCGUAAAGCGAGCGCAGGCGGUUUUUUAAGUCUGAUGUGAAAGCCUUCGGCUCAACCGAAGAAGUGCAUCGGAAACUGGGAAACUUGAGUGCAGAAGAGGACAGUGGAACUCCAUGUGUAGCGGUGAAAUGCGUAGAUAUAUGGAAGAACACCAGUGGCGAAGGCGGCUGUCUGGUUCUGUAACUGACGCUGAGGCUCGAAAGUAUGGGUAGCAAACAGGAUUAGAUACCCUGGUAGUCCAUACCCGUAAACGAUGAAUGCUAAGUGUUGGAGGGUUUCCCGCCCUUCAGUGCUGCAGCUUAACGCAUUAAGCAUUCCGCCUGGGGAGUACGGGCCGGAAUGGCUGAAACUCAAGGAAUUGAACGUGGGCUGA
RNAcentral lists this ribosomal RNA (917 nucleotides) under Lactiplantibacillus pentosus. Its description in RNAcentral is "bacterial SSU rRNA". It matches the Rfam family "Bacterial small subunit ribosomal RNA", at positions 48 to 924 of the family's 1533-position model. The record is from RNAcentral. Lineage: Bacteria; Bacillati; Bacillota; Bacilli; Lactobacillales; Lactobacillaceae.